This 505-nucleotide long non-coding RNA is filed under the name Mytilus galloprovincialis (Mediterranean mussel). Lineage: Eukaryota; Metazoa; Mollusca; Bivalvia; Mytilida; Mytilidae. The record is from RNAcentral.
CUCAAAUUAUAGGCAUUAUGUUUUCUGGUCUGUGCGUCCGUUCGUCCGUCCGUUCGUUCCGCUUCAGAUUAGAGUUUUUUUGUCGAGGUAGUUUCUGAUCAUGAAGUUGAAGUCCAAUUAACUUGAAACUUAGUAAACAUUGUUCCCUAUGAUAAAAUCUGUCUAAUUGUAAUGCCAACGUAGAGAGUUUAUCCCAUUUUCACGGUCCACUGAAUAUAUAAAAUGAUAGUGCGGAUGGGACAUCCGUGCACUUGAGAACAUUCUUGUUUAAUAUCUGUUUCUUAUACUUAUAACAGGAGACAGCCUGGAUUACAGUAAUGGGCAAGCGUUUACUACCAAAGACAAGGACAACGAUCCAUGGAAAGACAGACAUUACAAAAAUAAUUGUGGAAUACUAAGACAGGGUUCUUGGUGGUAUACUAAAUGUGGCUUUUCCGGGCUGAAUGGGUUAUACCCGGAAGGAGGAAAAGGAAGUUAUAAUGGCAUUUAUUGGUAUCACUGGAAG